CUUAUUUAACAGAUUGGUAAUUUAAUUAUCUAGUUAAAAAAAAAAAAAAAAAAAGAGAUAAUUUAUGGACUAGUGCCGCUUUCGAAAUGUUGUAAUAUUUACUGUAUGGGUACUAACGUUGCAGGAGUUAUCAACUAACAGACGAACUGUUGUUCGAACGAUCAGAUCUAGAAAAAUGAUCAUUAGAGAAGGAUAAACAUCUACUUUGGAUAUCAUAAGCUACUAAAAAGUAGAUUUACAUAAUUAUUUCCAGUCGAUUAAUUCAGAAUCCGGAUGUAUAAAUGAACCAAUAAGGUUGCAGGUUAGAUAACGAUCAGUGGGGGGGGUUUAAAUUUUGAAUGGCAUUGAAUUUAGCUAGCCUCUUCUCUUUUUUUUCCCUUCUCCUUCUAUUCUUUUAUAAAAUUUAUCUUAUAAUAGAUUGUCGCCAACAGCUGCAAAAUUUAGGAUGGUCUUGUUUUAUGCCGUACAUUACGUCAUGGAAAGAGAAUAGCGUGUGCAACGGACAGUAUUUUUUCCAUCCACAAUGUCAAUCUGCUGACACAGCAUCAUUCGAAUGAUAUAUAAGCUCGACUUACAGGAAAGAAUAAAAACUUCCAUUCUACUUCUUCCUAGACACAUUUACUGCCGUCGUUUAGCUAGGUUCAUUGGCGGUAGAUGGCGCCACGCGACGUGAUGAGUAAAUUGCUUUUUUGGCCAUUUAUUUAUAAAUUUGGCAAGGGGCACGGUGGCCAACGGGUUCGUAAACCUCUCUCGAGUCUGGAGCGAAAGUUUCGCGCUAAUUCGACGUUUAAUUUAAGAUUUCUGAAAACUGAAGUGCCGUACGAGUGAUUGCAACGGCGGCGAAAUUGCGUAAUUUUUUUUAUAUAUUUGUGUCUUUUGCGUAUCUAAAACGCCCGUUGACAUAAAUUAAUCGAAGGUUUAACACUUUCAAUGUCGAGUAAACAGGCUGUUGCAGCGUUAUCACUCGCUUAUGCUGCACGUCGCCAGAAUUCUUCAUUGUGCAAAGUUAAGGAGAGGCCUCGUUACACCCUAUCCUGCGAGGUCUUUUGAGAUAUUUUUUUAUUGCUUUUUUUGUAGGGAAAAAAUGCAUUUUGAACUGGGUAAAUGCGCUAGUUUCUUCUCACUGAGCGGCACGUUUAAUCUAGCAAAAAAAAAAAAAAAAUAACAAUAAAAAUGCA
This 1178-nucleotide long non-coding RNA is filed under the name Androctonus crassicauda. Lineage: Eukaryota; Metazoa; Arthropoda; Arachnida; Scorpiones; Buthidae. The record is from RNAcentral.